AGCUGCAGUAUAAAUAACUGUACAAAGGUAGCAUAAUAAUUUGUUUUUUAAUUGAAAACUAGAAUGAAUGAUUAAAUGAAAUAUAAACUAUAUCAAAUUUAAAAAAUAAAUUUAUUAUUUAAAUAAAAAAAUUUAAAUAAUUUUUAAAGACGAGAAGACCCUAAAGAAUUUUAAUAAUAAAUUAUAAUAUUAUAUAAUAAUUUAUUAUAUUAAUUGGGGAAAUUUUAAAAUUUAAAAAAUUUUUAAUUAAAUAAACAUAAAUUUUUGAAUACUUAAAAUUUUUUUAAAAAAUUAAAUAAAAUUACCUUAGGGAUAACAGCAUAAUUUUUUUAAAAAGUUCAAAUUUAUAAAAAAGUUUAUGACCUCGAUGUU
RNAcentral lists this ribosomal RNA (372 nucleotides) under Cotesia vestalis (diamondback moth parasitoid). RNAcentral describes it as "partial 16S ribosomal RNA". The record is from RNAcentral. Lineage: Eukaryota; Metazoa; Arthropoda; Insecta; Hymenoptera; Braconidae.